GACGUAGGGCGCGAGCGUUGUCCGGAUUUAUUGGGCGUAAAGAGCUCGUAGGCGGCUUGUUGCGUCAGCUGUGAAAACCCGCAGCUCAACUGUGGGCUUGCAGCUGAUACGGGCAGGCUUGAGUUCGGUAGGGGAGACUGGAAUUCCUGGUGUAGCGGUGGAAUGCGCAGAUAUCAGGAGGAACACCUAUAGCGAAGGCAGCUUGCUGGGACGUUACUGACGCUAAGGCGCGAAAGCGUGGGGAGCGAACAGG
This 253-nucleotide ribosomal RNA is filed under the name uncultured bacterium. RNAcentral's name for it is "partial 16S ribosomal RNA". It matches the Rfam family "Bacterial small subunit ribosomal RNA", at positions 524 to 776 of the family's 1533-position model. The record is from RNAcentral.